GACGAACGCUGGCGGCGUGCCUAACACAUGCAAGUCGAACGAAGCAUAGCAAUAUGCUUAGUGGCGGACGGGUGAGUAACGCGUGAACAAUCUGCCCUGUACAAAGGAAUAGCCUCGGGAAACCGGGAUUAAAACCGUAUGACACUUUAGUAUCGCAUGAUAAGAAAGUCAAAUCGAUUAGAGGUAUGGGAUGAGUUCGCGUCUGAUUAGCUGGUUGGCGGGGUAACGGCCCACCAAGGCGACGAUCAGUAGCCGGCCUGAGAGGGUGAACGGCCACACUGGAACUGAGACACGGUCCAGACUCCUACGGGAGGCAGCAGUGGGGAAUAUUGCACAAUGGAGGGAACUCUGGUGCAGCGACGCCGCGUGAGUGAAGAAGGUCUUCGGAUCGUAAAACUCUGUCCUUGGUGAAGAAAGGACGGUAGCCAAGGAGGAAGCCCCGGCUAACUACGUG
Molecule: ribosomal RNA, 454 nt
Filed under: uncultured bacterium
Lineage: Bacteria
Description: bacterial SSU rRNA
Rfam family: Bacterial small subunit ribosomal RNA
Source: RNAcentral